CAGGAUGAACGCUGGCGGCGUGCCUAAUACAUGCAAGUCGAGCGAACGGACGAGAAGCUUGCUUCUCUGAUGUUAGCGGCGGACGGGUGAGUAACACGUGGAUAACCUACCUAUAAGACUGGGAUAACUUCGGGAAACCGGAGCUAAUACCGGAUAAUAUUUUGAACCGCAUGGUUCAAAAGUGAAAGACGGUCUUGCUGUCACUUAUAGAUGGAUCCGCGCUGCAUUAGCUAGUUGGUAAGGUAACGGCUUACCAAGGCAACGAUGCAUAGCCGACCUGAGAGGGUGAUCGGCCACACUGGAACUGAGACACGGUCCAGACUCCUACGGGAGGCAGCAGUAGGGAAUCUUCCGCAAUGGGCGAAAGCCUGACGGAGCAACGCCGCGUGAGUGAUGAAGGUCUUCGGAUCGUAAAACUCUGUUAUUAGGGAAGAACAUAUGUGUAAGUAACUGUGCACAUCUUGACGGUACCUAAUCAGAAAGCCACGGCUAACUACGUGCCAGCAGCCGCGGUAAUACGUAGGUGGCAAGCGUUAUCCGGAAUUAUUGGGCGUAAAGCGCGCGUAGGCGGUUUUUUAAGUCUGAUGUGAAAGCCCACGGCUCAACCGUGGAGGGUCAUUGGAAACUGGAAAACUUGAGUGCAGAAGAGGAAAGUGGAAUUCCAUGUGUAGCGGUGAAAUGCGCAGAGAUAUGGAGGAACACCAGUGGCGAAGGCGACUUUCUGGUCUGUAACUGACGCUGAUGUGCGAAAGCGUGGGGAUCAAACAGGAUUAGAUACCCUGGUAGUCCACGCCGUAAACGAUGAGUGCUAAGUGUUAGGGGGUUUCCGCCCCUUAGU
Molecule: ribosomal RNA, 838 nt
Filed under: Staphylococcus aureus
Lineage: Bacteria; Bacillati; Bacillota; Bacilli; Caryophanales; Staphylococcaceae
Description: bacterial SSU rRNA
Rfam family: Bacterial small subunit ribosomal RNA
Source: RNAcentral